Molecule: ribosomal RNA, 449 nt
Filed under: uncultured bacterium
Lineage: Bacteria
Description: SSU rRNA
Rfam family: Bacterial small subunit ribosomal RNA
Source: RNAcentral
AGAGCGAACGCUGGCGGCAGGCUUAACACAUGCAAGUCGAACGCUCGUAGCAAUACGGGAGUGGCAGACGGGUGAGUAACGCGUGGGAACAUGCCCUUUGGUUCGGAAUAACUCAGGGAAACUUGAGCUAAUACCGGAUAAGCCCCUUACGGGGGAAAGAUUUAUCGCCGAAGGAUUGGCCCGCGUCCGAUUAGCUAGUUGGUGAGGUAAUGGCUCACCAAGGCGACGAUCGGUAGCUGGUCUGAGAGGAUGAUCAGCCACACUGGGACUGAGACACGGCCCAGACUCCUACGGGAGGCAGCAGUGGGGAAUAUUGGACAAUGGGGGCAACCCUGAUCCAGCCAUGCCGCGUGAGUGAUGAAGGCCCUAGGGUUGUAAAGCUCUUUCGACGGGGACGAUAAUGACGGUACCCGUAGAAGAAGCCCGGCUAACUUCGUGCCAGCAGCCGC